UGGGCCGGUUAAUCACCACUUCUCGCUGUUCACUUUGCCGGUACAGGCCAGCAUCAGUUCAGCGCGGGGGAUAAAGGCUUCGGGAAUGUGGCUCCCUCGGGAGUGUUAUAGCCCGCUGCGUAAUGCCCUGCGCCGGACUGAGGUACGCGCAUUGCAGGAUGCUGGCGUAAUGGUCAUCAGCG
Molecule: ribosomal RNA, 182 nt
Filed under: Beauveria bassiana
Lineage: Eukaryota; Fungi; Ascomycota; Sordariomycetes; Hypocreales; Cordycipitaceae
Description: partial 28S ribosomal RNA D2 region
Source: RNAcentral